RNAcentral lists this ribosomal RNA (891 nucleotides) under Amanita smithiana. RNAcentral describes it as "partial 28S ribosomal RNA". It matches the Rfam family "Eukaryotic large subunit ribosomal RNA", at positions 1 to 875 of the family's 3401-position model. The record is from RNAcentral. Lineage: Eukaryota; Fungi; Basidiomycota; Agaricomycetes; Agaricales; Amanitaceae.
UUGACCUCAAAUCAGGUAGGACUACCCGCUGAACUUAAGCAUAUCAAUAAGCGGAGGAAAAGAAACUAACAAGGAUUCCCCUAGUAACUGCGAGUGAAGCGGGAAAAGCUCAAAUUUAAAAUCUGGCGGUAUUUUGCCGUCCGAAUUGUAGGCUAGAGAAGUGUUACCCGUACUGGACCGUGUAUAAGUCUCCUGGGAUGGAGCGUCAUAGAGGGUGAGAAUCCCGUCUUUGACAUGGACUACCAGUGCAUUGUGGUAUGCUCUCAAAGAGUUGAGUUGUUUGGGAAUGCAGCUCUAAAUGGGUGGUAAAUUCCAUCUAAAGCUAAAUAUUGGCGAGAGACCGAUAGCGAACAAGUACCGUGAGGGAAAGAUGAAAAGAACUUUGGAAAGAGAGUUAAACAGUAUGUGAAAUUGUUGAAAGGGAAACGUUUGAAGUCAGUCAUGUUGGUCAGGGAUCAAGUCAGCAGAUAUGCUGGGUUUACUUCCUGGGCAAUGGGUCAACAUCAGUUUCGACGGCUGGAGAAAGGCGUUGGGAAUGUGGCACCUCCGGGUGUGUUAUAGCCCAUUGUCAUAUACAGCGGUUGGGACUGAGGAACGCAGCGCGCCGCAAGGCAGGGUUUCGACCACGUACGCGCUUAGGAUGUUGGCAUAAUGGCUUUAAGUGACCCGUCUUGAAACACGGACCAAGGAGUCUAACAUGCCUGCGAGUGUUUGGGUUUCAAACCCUUGCGCGCAAUGAAAGUGAUAGUUGAGAUCCCUGUUAAAGGGGAGCAUCGAUGCCCAGACCAGAACAUUUGGGACGGAUCUGCGGUAGAGCAAGCAUGUUGGGACCCGAAAGAUGGUGAACUAUGCCUGAAUAGGGCGAAGCCAGAGGAAACUCUGGUGGAGGCU